RNAcentral lists this ribosomal RNA (204 nucleotides) under uncultured bacterium. RNAcentral describes it as "partial 16S ribosomal RNA". It matches the Rfam family "Bacterial small subunit ribosomal RNA", at positions 1296 to 1500 of the family's 1533-position model. The record is from RNAcentral.
GAUUGCAGGCUGAAACUGCCUGCAUGAAGUCGGAAUUGCUAGUAAUCGCAGAUCAGCAUGCUGCGGUGAAUACGUUCCCGGGCCUUGUACACACCGCCCGUCACACCAUGGGAGUCGGUAACACCCGAAGCCUGUAGUCUAACCGCAAGGAGGACGCGGCCUAAGGUGGGUUCGAUAAUUGGGGUGAAGUCGUAACAAGGUACC